Molecule: non-coding RNA, 1771 nt
Organism: Chiloscyllium plagiosum (whitespotted bambooshark)
Lineage: Eukaryota; Metazoa; Chordata; Chondrichthyes; Orectolobiformes; Hemiscylliidae
Source: RefSeq, a predicted model, not a curated record
GCCUAACUAAGCCAGAAUGUUAUUUCCAAAGAAUAUGAGACAUUCCUUCCUCAAGGUACCUAGUAGUUGUGGAAAAUAUCACGUGGAUUGUAAAUCAUUGAUUUCGAGCUCUGUGGGCACUAGGACCCAGUGAGAAUCGGUGACGCUGAAGCUCCGCCAACAAUGUGCGUCACGGCGUUGAUCACGCAAGCGCGAAUUCAAAGGUGGCAGCCGUUAACAGACAGUUCUUCCCGGGAAAAAGGCACCAGAAUUGGAAAUCUGAGACUUGCAGGAAGCUGAAUAUCUUUGAAAACUUGGAGAUUUUUCUUUUGCUACAGUUUUUCUACCUUUUUCAGCUGCAACAUCAAGCAGGACGUUUUAAAUUUGAAAUCAAUGAAGUUGUUUCAGAAUUUCACAGGGUAUUAAGAAGAGAUUUCUACAGUUUGGAGUCUGAAACCAAACAUUACAUCAGGAUCUGACCGAGUUGUCCAAUUUACCAGUACCUGAAUAUCAUUGGAUGUUGAGCAUGGAAAGAAAAAGAACCAUUCAGUGUCAGGAGAAACCGUAUGUGUGUUCUUUGUGUGGACGAGGUUUCAGGCAAUCAUCUGGUCUGUCGAAACAUAAGUGCAAUCAUGCUGGGGAGAAACCGUGGAAAUGCGGGGACUGUGGGAAGGGAUUUAAAUCACCUUCAAAGCUGGAAAUGCACAGGCGCAGUCACACUGGGGAGAGGCCAUUCACCUGCACCAGAUGUGGGAAAGGAUUCACUCAAUCAACUCAUCUCCUGAAACACCAGCGGAUCCACACAGGGGAGAGACCAUUUACCUGCUCUCAGUGUGGGAAAGGAUUCACUCAGUCAACCCACUUGCAGGGACAUCACCGUGUUCACACUGGGGAGAGGCCAUUUAUUUGCACUGAGUGUGGAAAGGGGUUCACUCACUCAUCCAACCUGCUAAAACAUAAACGAGUUCACACUGGAGAGAGGCCAUUCAUCUGCUCUGUGUGUGGGAAAGGAUUCACUCAGUUAUCCAGUUUGCUGUCACACCAGCGAGUCCACACAGGGGAGAGGCCAUUUACCUGCUCUGAGUGUGGGAGGGGAUUCGCUGUCUCAUCUGACCUGCUAAGACACCAGCGUGUCCACAAUGAAGAGGGACCUGAAGUGCUGUAAUACUUCUCGGGACCUGAUGUCCCAUCAACAUGUUCACACUGACAAAAGACUAUUUAGAUGCUCUAACUGGGGUCUGGUUAAAAUGAUCAUCUCAACUCCAUAGUACACCAGCGAGUUCACACUGGAGAGAGGACAUUUCAUUGUUCCCAGUGCAAGAAGAGAGACCCUCAGUUAUCCCAUUGGUUGAAACACUAGCGAGUUGAAAAGUGACUACAGACUUUGGAUUUUGUUAAUGGUUGAUGAGGAUGUAUGGAAUGUUGUCUACUAUUAAAGUUAACUAUCAACUGAGACUGUAGAAGAUGCAUUCGAGUCAGGGACAUAAGAAUGGAAAUUGCAGGAUCAGUUGUCAAUAUUUUUUCAAUUCUAAUACUUAUUAAGGAUAGUAGAGAAUUGAAGAGUUUUUAAUUGAGAGGGGUUACAGGGAGGUAGCCACACCUCAGGUACAAAUAAAAAGCAAAUGGGUUACAGUCAGGGGACGGAAAGGGAAUCAGCAGACAGUGCAGGGUUCCCCUGUGGCCAUUUCUUUAAUAAUAGUUAUAUUGUUUGACAGGGGUGACUUAUCAGGGGUAAGCCAUGGGGUACAGGUCUCUGGCACAGAAUCUGUCCCUGUUGCUCAAAUGGGAAAGA